AGUGAACGCUGGCGGUAGGCCUAACACAUGCGAGUCGAACGGCAGCACAGUAAGAGCUUGCUCUUACGGGUGGCGAGUGGCGGACGGGUGAGGAAUACAUCGGAAUCUACUUUUUCGUGGGGGAUAACGUAGGGAAACUUACGCUAAUACCGCAUACGACCUACGGGUGAAAGCAGGGGAUCUUCGGACCUUGCGCGAUUGAAUGAGCCGAUGUCGGAUUAGCUAGUUGGCGGGGUAAAGGCCCACCAAGGCGACGAUCCGUAGCUGGUCUGAGAGGAUGAUCAGCCACACUGGAACUGAGACACGGUCCAGACUCCUACGGGAGGCAGCAGUGGGGAAUAUUGGACAAUGGGCGCAAGCCUGAUCCAGCCAUACCGCGUGGGUGAAGAAGGCCUUCGGGUUGUAAAGCCCUUUUGUUGGGAAAGAAAAGCAGCAGGUUAAUACCCCGCUGUUCUGACGGUACCCAAAGAAUAAGCACCGGCUAACUUCGUGC
RNAcentral lists this ribosomal RNA (493 nucleotides) under uncultured bacterium. RNAcentral's name for it is "partial 16S ribosomal RNA". It matches the Rfam family "Bacterial small subunit ribosomal RNA", at positions 29 to 508 of the family's 1533-position model. The record is from RNAcentral.